This 76-nucleotide transfer RNA is filed under the name Pseudomonas fluorescens. RNAcentral describes it as "tRNA-Gly". It matches the Rfam family "tRNA". Rfam says of the family: Transfer RNA (tRNA) molecules are approximately 80 nucleotides in length. RNAcentral also lists the same sequence under 1 other name. The record is from RNAcentral. Lineage: Bacteria; Pseudomonadati; Pseudomonadota; Gammaproteobacteria; Pseudomonadales; Pseudomonadaceae.
GCGGGAAUAGCUCAGUUGGUAGAGCACGACCUUGCCAAGGUCGGGGUCGCGAGUUGGAGUCUCGUUUCCCGCUCCA